RNAcentral lists this ribosomal RNA (548 nucleotides) under uncultured bacterium. RNAcentral describes it as "bacterial SSU rRNA". It matches the Rfam family "Bacterial small subunit ribosomal RNA", at positions 1 to 526 of the family's 1533-position model. The record is from RNAcentral.
UAGAGUUUGAUCAUGGCUCAGAUUGAACGCUGGCGGCAUGCCUAACACAUGCAAGUCGAACGGCAGCAUGAGGUGUAGCAAUACACCUUGAUGGCGAGUGGCGGACGGGUGAGGAAUGCAUCGGAAUCUGCCCAGUCGUGGGGGAUAACCCGGGGAAACCCGGACUAAUACCGCAUACGACCCCGCACCGAUAGGUGCGGAGUGAAAGCGGGGGACCCUUCGGGGCCUCGCGCGACUGGAUGAGCCGAUGCCGGAUUAGCUUGUUGGCGGGGUAAUGGCCCACCAAGGCGACGAUCCGUAGCUGGUCUGAGAGGAUGAUCAGCCACACUGGGACUGAGACACGGCCCAGACUCCUACGGGAGGCAGCAGUGGGGAAUAUUGGACAAUGGGGGCAACCCUGAUCCAGCAAUGCCGCGUGUGUGAAGAAGGCCUUCGGGUUGUAAAGCACUUUUAUCGGGAACGAAACAUUGUCGGCCAAUACCCGGCAAGACUGACGGUACCCGAGGAAUAAGCACCGGCUAACUCCGUGCCAGCAGCCGCGGUACGCC